Molecule: ribosomal RNA, 253 nt
Filed under: uncultured bacterium
Lineage: Bacteria
Description: partial 16S ribosomal RNA
Rfam family: Bacterial small subunit ribosomal RNA
Source: RNAcentral
UACGUAGGGUGCUAGCGUUGUCCGGAAUUAUUGGGCGUAAAGAGCUCGUAGGCGGUUUGUCGCGUCGGCUGUGAAAACCUGGGGCUCAACCCCGGGCCUGCAGCCGAUACGGGCAAACUAGAAUUCGGUAGGGGAGACUGGAAUUCCUGGUGUAGCGGUGAAAUGCGCAGAUAUCAGGAGGAACACCGGUGGCGAAGGCGGGUCUCUGGGCCGAUAUUGACGCUGAGGAGCGAAAGCGUGGGGAGCGAACAGG